Molecule: ribosomal RNA, 156 nt
Filed under: uncultured bacterium
Lineage: Bacteria
Description: partial 16S ribosomal RNA
Rfam family: Bacterial small subunit ribosomal RNA
Source: RNAcentral
UGAGGAAUAUUGGUCAAUGGGCGAGAGCCUGAACCAGCCAAGUAGCGUGCAGGAUGACGGCCCUAUGGGUUGUAAACUGCUUUUAUGCGGGGAUAAAGUGAGGCACGUGUCCCUUUUUGUAUGUACCAGUAUGAAUAAGGACCGGCUAAUUCCGUG